CCUUCGAUAGCUCAGUUGGUAGAGCGGAGGACUGUAGGAACUUGGUUGAUGGUUAUCCUUAGGUCGCUGGUUCGAAUCCGGCUCGAAGGA
RNAcentral lists this transfer RNA (90 nucleotides) under Bos taurus (domestic cattle). It matches the Rfam family "tRNA". Rfam says of the family: Transfer RNA (tRNA) molecules are approximately 80 nucleotides in length. Their secondary structure includes four short double-helical elements and three loops (D, anti-codon, and T loops). Lineage: Eukaryota; Metazoa; Chordata; Mammalia; Artiodactyla; Bovidae. The record is from Rfam by way of RNAcentral. RNAcentral also lists the same sequence under 2 other names.